Molecule: small RNA, 28 nt
Filed under: Bombyx mori (domestic silkworm)
Lineage: Eukaryota; Metazoa; Arthropoda; Insecta; Lepidoptera; Bombycidae
Description: ovarian small RNA-29747
Source: RNAcentral
UCUCGCCUGUUAGGUGGUCUUGGAGUUC